RNAcentral lists this ribosomal RNA (707 nucleotides) under uncultured Enterobacteriaceae bacterium. RNAcentral describes it as "bacterial SSU rRNA". It matches the Rfam family "Bacterial small subunit ribosomal RNA", at positions 794 to 1502 of the family's 1533-position model. Lineage: Bacteria; Pseudomonadati; Pseudomonadota; Gammaproteobacteria; Enterobacterales; Enterobacteriaceae. The record is from RNAcentral.
GUCACGCUGUAAACGAUGUCGAUUUGGAGUUUGGGGGCAUGACCCUUGGGCUCCGGAGCUAACGCGUUAAAUCGACCGCUGGGGAGUACGGCCGCAAGGUUAAAACUCAAAUGAAUUGACGGGGGCCCGCACAGCGGUGGAGCAUGUGGUUUAAUUCGAUGCAACGCGAAGAACCUUACCUGGUCUUGACAUCCAUAGAAUCUUUCAGAGAUGAGAGAGUGCCUUCGGGAGCUAUGAGACAGGUGCUGCAUGGCUGUCGUCAGCUCGUGUUGUGAAAUGUUGGGUUAAGUCCCGCAACGAGCGCAACCCCUAUCCUUUGUUGCCAGCACGUAAUGGUGGGAACUCAAAGGAGACUGCCGUUGAUAAAGCGGAGGAAGGUGGGGACGACGUCAAGUCAUCAUGGCCCUUACGACCAGGGCUACACACGUGCUACAAUGGCGUAUACAAAGGGAUGCGAAGGUGCGAACUGGAGCGGACCUCACAAAGUACGUCUAAGUCCGGAUUGGAGUCUGCAACUCGACUCCAUGAAGUCGGAAUCGCUAGUAAUCGUGAAUCAGAAUGUCACGGUGAAUACGUUCCCGGGCCUUGUACACACCGCCCGUCACACCAUGGGAGUGGGUUGCACCAGAAGUAGAUAGCUUAACCUUCGGGAGGGCGUUUACCACGGUGUGGUUCAUGACUGGGGUGAAGUCGUAACAAGGUAACCA